CCCCUUAGUAAGCACUUCUCUAACCCAGAAUAGACACUGGGUAUCCUCCAAGAGUCCCAUAGCUUUCAUUUCAUCUUCCACCCUCUUCUGAGAGGGGGAGGCAGGGGAUAGGGGUGGUGUCAGGCAGUCUCCAAAAUGCCCCUCCUAGACCCCUGAGAGAAUUCACGUUGCCAGCAAUAAACCAACAGCACCUCAGUGGGGCAUCAGAGGGCCCUCUAGGCUCAAGGCUAUUGCCAAAGGCAUUCCUGUUUAUGGCUUCACGAUGGAACCAAGGAGGCUCUCGCAGACUCCUAGGGCUGGUCCUUCACUAUGGCUGAGAGCAGGGCAGGAUCCAGGAGAAAGUGGCCAAGGGCUAAGAGAGAAGAGAUUGCAUUUAAGAUACCCUUUGGAGUCUGGAAAGCACCUGGAUUUCUUGGGAGAGGAGCCUGGAUUUCUUGGGAGAGGAGGGCUGUGGAAGCCCCAAUCAGUUCUUCUUCGUUUUGGGAGUGUCAUAUUUCCUCUUGCUGGAGUACCACAAUAGCAGGGGGAUGCCGAUGGAGGGAAGGGUCAUGACCCCAAAGGCUGCCCAGUCCAGAAAAUGAGGGGAGAAUCGCCUGUCAAACUCCCGCUGAGCCAGGAUUCCUCCCUGUCCAGGUGCACUGGUAGAGCCAAUCACAACGGGCCCAUCCUCCUGGGCCAGGUAAGUAAUUGUUGCCGA
RNAcentral lists this long non-coding RNA (697 nucleotides) under Homo sapiens (human). RNAcentral's name for it is "LNC_000176". Lineage: Eukaryota; Metazoa; Chordata; Mammalia; Primates; Hominidae. The record is from RNAcentral.